UCUGGUGGCGAUGCGCUUGGGGGUAACACCCGUUCCCAUCCCGAACACGAUGGUUAAGACCCAAGUGGCCGAUGGUACUGCACUGGAGACGGUGUGGGAGAGUAGGUGGCUGCCAGAG
RNAcentral lists this ribosomal RNA (118 nucleotides) under Dorea hominis. The record is from RNAcentral. Lineage: Bacteria; Bacillati; Bacillota; Clostridia; Lachnospirales; Lachnospiraceae.